AACGAACGCUGGCGGCAGGCUUAACACAUGCAAGUCGAGCGCGUAGCAAUACGAGCGGCAGACGGGUGAGUAACACGUGGGAAUCUACCCAUCACUAGGGAAUAACUCAGGGAAACUUGUGCUAAUACACUAUACGACCGAGAGGUGAAAGAUUUAUCGGUGAUGGAUGAGCCCGCGUUGGAUUAGCUAGUUGGUGGGGUAAAGGCCUACCAAGGCGACGAUCCAUAGCUGGUCUGAGAGGAUGAUCAGCCACACUGGGACUGAGACACGGCCCAGACUCCUACGGGAGGCAGCAGUGGGGAAUAUUGGACAAUGGGCGCAAGCCUGAUCCAGCCAUGCCGCGUGAGUGAUGAAGGUCUUAGGAUUGUAAAGCUCUUUCACCGGUGAAGAUAAUGACGGUAACCGGAGAAGAAGCCCCGGCUAACUUCGUGCCAGCAGCCGCCGUAA
RNAcentral lists this ribosomal RNA (447 nucleotides) under uncultured bacterium. RNAcentral describes it as "partial 16S ribosomal RNA". It matches the Rfam family "Bacterial small subunit ribosomal RNA", at positions 29 to 523 of the family's 1533-position model. The record is from RNAcentral.